RNAcentral lists this ribosomal RNA (253 nucleotides) under uncultured bacterium. Its description in RNAcentral is "partial 16S ribosomal RNA". It matches the Rfam family "Bacterial small subunit ribosomal RNA", at positions 524 to 776 of the family's 1533-position model. The record is from RNAcentral.
GACGAACCGUGCGAACGUUGUUCGGAUUCACUGGGCUUAAAGGGCGCGUAGGCGGGCCAUCAAGUCAGGGGUGAAAUCUUUCAGCUUAACUGGAAAAGUGCCUUUGAUACUGAUGGCCUCGAGGGAGAUAGGGGCGUGCGGAACUUCCGGUGGAGCGGUGAAAUGCGUAGAUAUCGGAAGGAACGCCGGUGGCGAAAGCGGCGCGCUGGAUCUCUUCUGACGCUGAGGCGCGAAAGCCAGGGGAGCAAACGGG